Molecule: ribosomal RNA, 330 nt
Filed under: Triticum aestivum (bread wheat)
Lineage: Eukaryota; Viridiplantae; Streptophyta; Magnoliopsida; Poales; Poaceae
Description: partial small subunit ribosomal RNA
Source: RNAcentral
GGCGUGCAAGUACCUGCGCGGCAGUGCGCCCCCGACUGCGUGCUCACCCCCUACUUCCCGGCAUCGCAACCCUCACCGCUACGCCGUCGUCCACCUGGCCUUUGGCGCCAACAAAGUCGCGAGGUUGCUCGAGGAUCGAGGUACAGCUUGCCGGUGGAUGAGAGAGCUCAGGCGGCGGAGACAAUGGCAAUGGAGGCGUGGUGGCUGGUGGAGGACCCGGUGUACGUAUGCGACGGGAUCAUCAGCCAGCUGCAAGAGGAGAUUCAGCCUACGCAGUGCAAGCUCACCAUGACGCGGGCGCAGCUAGCCAUCGUCCCCGUGCACGGUGCA